RNAcentral lists this ribosomal RNA (715 nucleotides) under Entoloma sp. EM677. Its description in RNAcentral is "eukaryotic LSU rRNA". The stretch from base 225 to 378 matches the Rfam family "5.8S ribosomal RNA". Lineage: Eukaryota; Fungi; Basidiomycota; Agaricomycetes; Agaricales; Entolomataceae. The record is from RNAcentral.
UAAACUUGUGUUGGGUUGUUGCUGGCUUUCAGGAGCAUGUGCACACUCAUUCCAUUUUUGUUAACCACCUGUGCACCUACUGUAGGCCUGUGAGCUUUUUCGAGGAAACUCGGUUUGAGAACUGCUCAGCUGUUCUUGUGUUUUCAGGUCUAUGUUUUUACAUACUCCAUAACAAGUGAUAGAAUGUUCAUUUAUAGGCCUUUUGUGCCUUUAAACCCUAAUACAACUUUCAACAACGGAUCUCUUGGCUCUCGCAUCGAUGAAGAACGCAGCGAAAUGCGAUAAGUAAUGUGAAUUGCAGAAUUCAGUGAAUCAUCGAAUCUUUGAACGCACCUUGCGCUCCUUGGUAUUCCGAGGAGCAUGCCUGUUUGAGUGUCAUGAAAUUCUCAACCUUAUUGGCUUUUAUUACAAAAGCUGGUCAAGGCUUGGAUUGUGGAAGCUGCUGGUGUCUUUGGAAAUCAGCUCUUCUUAAAUAAAUUAGCGAAAUUCUUUGCUGAAUAUCUUUGGUAUGAUAAUUAUCUAUAUCAUUGGGAUGCAGCUUUUUCCACUUUGGCGGAUCAGGCUCCGCUUGGAUGGUAUGUCCAAGUGUUCGAUUCAACCGUUCUGAAGCACUAGCUUAGGCACAGAUGUUAAGUCGUCUGAUGGUGUUGAAUACUUCAGGUUGACGAAGCGAAGCGUUCUUAGGAGCGCUCACGAGAGCAAGCCACUGUAAUCA